GAGCACGUAGGUGGGUUUGUAAGUCAUAUGUGAAAGCCUUCUGUUCAACGGAAGAAUUGCAUCUGAAACUGCUAAUCUUGAGUAUAGGAGGGGAGAAUGGAACUUCUGGUGGAGCGGUGAAAUGCGCAGAUAUCAGAAGGAACGCCGGCGGCGAAAGCGAUUCUCUGGCCUAUUACUGACACUCAGUGUGCGAAAGCUAGGGGAGCAAACGGGAUUAGAUACCCCGGUAGUCCUAGCCGUAAACGAUGGGCACUAAGUAGAGGGAAUUACCGAUGUUCUCUCUGCCGUAGCUAACGCAUUAAGUGCCCCGCCUGGGGAGUACGGCCGCAAGGCUAAAACUCAAAAGAAUUGACGGGGGCUCGCACAAGCGGUGGAGCAUGUGGCUUAAUUCGAUGCAACGCGAAAAACCUUACCGGGGCUUGACAUGAUAGAAGUAGGAACCUGAAAGGGGGACGAACGGUAUCCAGUCCGUAGCUAUUACAGGUGUUGCAUGGCUGUCGUCAGCUCGUGUCGUGAGACGUUGGGUUAAGUCCCCUAACGAGCGAAACCCUUGUUUUUAGUUACCAGCGGGUUAUGCCGGGUACUCUAGAAAGACUGCCGUCGUCAAGACGGAGGAAGGUGGGGAUGACGUCAAGUCAUCAUGGCCCUUAUGCCCCGGGCUGCACACGUGCUACAAUGGUCGGUACAAACGGAAGCGAAGCCGAGAGGUGAAGCGAAUCC
RNAcentral lists this ribosomal RNA (720 nucleotides) under uncultured Candidatus Scalindua sp. RNAcentral's name for it is "bacterial SSU rRNA". It matches the Rfam family "Bacterial small subunit ribosomal RNA", at positions 565 to 1274 of the family's 1533-position model. Lineage: Bacteria; Pseudomonadati; Planctomycetota; Candidatus Brocadiia; Candidatus Brocadiales; Candidatus Scalinduaceae. The record is from RNAcentral.